Molecule: ribosomal RNA, 217 nt
Filed under: uncultured bacterium
Lineage: Bacteria
Description: partial 16S ribosomal RNA
Rfam family: Bacterial small subunit ribosomal RNA
Source: RNAcentral
UGGGUGACCUGCCUUCCAGUGAGGAAUACCGGCGAGAAAUCGCCGACAAUGCCGCAUAGGCUCUCGGGCUCACACCCAAGAGCAAAGCUCCGCAAGGAGCGCUGGAAGAGGGGCCCGUGGCCGAUUAGCUGGUUGGUGGGGUAAAGGCCUACCAAGGCGACGAUCGGUUGCUGGUCUGAGAGGACGAUCAGCCACACUGGGAUUGAGAACGGCCCAG